Molecule: ribosomal RNA, 497 nt
Filed under: uncultured bacterium
Lineage: Bacteria
Description: partial 16S ribosomal RNA
Rfam family: Bacterial small subunit ribosomal RNA
Source: RNAcentral
GAUGAACGCUGGCGGCGUGCCUAAUACAUGCAAGUCGAGCGAACAGACGAGGAGCUUUCUCCUCUGACGUUAGCGGCGGACGGGUGAGUAACACGUGGAUAACCUACCUAUAAGACUGGGAUAACUUCGCGAAACCUGAGCUAAUACCGGAUAAUAUAUUGCACCUCAUGGUUCACUCGUGAAAGUCGGUUUUGCUGUCACUUAUAGAUGGAUCCGCGCCGCAUUAGCUAGUUGGUAAGGGAACGGCUUACCAAGGCGACGAGGGGUAGCCGACCUGAGAGGGUGAUCGGCCACCCUGGAACUGAGACACGGUCCAGACUCCUACGGGAGGACGCAGUAGGGACUCCUACGCAAUGGGGGAAAGCCUGACGGAGCAAAGCGGCGUGAGUGAUGAAGGUCUUCGGAUCGGAAAACUCUGUUAUUAGGGAAGAACAAAUGUGCAAGCAACUAUGAACGUCUUGACGGUACCCAAUCAGAAAGCCACGGCUAACUACGUG